RNAcentral lists this ribosomal RNA (199 nucleotides) under uncultured Bacillus sp. Its description in RNAcentral is "partial 16S ribosomal RNA". It matches the Rfam family "Bacterial small subunit ribosomal RNA", at positions 335 to 526 of the family's 1533-position model. Lineage: Bacteria; Bacillati; Bacillota; Bacilli; Caryophanales; Bacillaceae. The record is from RNAcentral.
ACUCCUACGGGAGGCAGCAGUAGGGAAUCUUCGGCAAUGGACGAAAGUCUGACCGAGCAACGCCGCGUGAGCGAUGAAGGCCUUCGGGUCGUAAAGCUCUGUUGUCAGAGAAGAACAAGUACCGGAGUAACUGCCGGUACCUUGACGGUACCUGACCAGAAAGCCACGGCUAACUACGUGCCAGCAGCCGCGGUAAUAC